CCUACGGGUGGCUGCAGUGGGGAAUAUUGCACAAUGGGGGGAACCCUGAUGCAGCGACGCCGCGUGAGUGAAGAAGUAUUUCGGUAUGUAAAGCUCUAUCAGCAGGGAAGAAAAUGACGGUACCUGACUAAGAAGCCCCGGCUAACUACGUGCCAGCAGCCGCGGUAAUACGUAGGGGGCAAGCGUUAUCCGGAUUUACUGGGUGUAAAGGGAGCGUAGACGGCAGCGCAAGUCUGAAGUGAAAGCCCGGGGCCCAACCCCGGGACUGCUUUGGAAACUGUGAAGCUGGAGUGCGGGAGGGGCAGGCGGAAUUCCUAGUGUAGCGGUGAAAUGCGUAGAUAUUAGGAGGAACACCGGUGGCGAAGGCGGCCUGCUGGACCGUAACUGACGUUGAGGCUCGAAAGCGUGGGGAGCAAACAGGAUUAGAUACCCGGGUAGUC
Molecule: ribosomal RNA, 440 nt
Filed under: Streptococcus agalactiae
Lineage: Bacteria; Bacillati; Bacillota; Bacilli; Lactobacillales; Streptococcaceae
Description: bacterial SSU rRNA
Rfam family: Bacterial small subunit ribosomal RNA
Source: RNAcentral